Molecule: small nuclear RNA, 82 nt
Filed under: Octodon degus (degu)
Lineage: Eukaryota; Metazoa; Chordata; Mammalia; Rodentia; Octodontidae
Description: U4 spliceosomal RNA (ENSODEG00000022865.1)
Rfam family: U4 spliceosomal RNA
About the family: U4 small nuclear RNA (U4 snRNA) is a component of the major U2-dependent spliceosome. The structure of U4 snRNA from yeast and human has been reported. U4 snRNA presents a k-turn RNA motif in the 5p-SL related to recognition of Snu13 protein.
Source: RNAcentral
AGCUUUGUGCACUGGCAGUAUUGUAGCCAAAGAGGUGUAUCCAAGGUGCGAUUAUUGCUAAUUGAAAACUUUUCAGUGCAGU